This 523-nucleotide ribosomal RNA is filed under the name uncultured bacterium. RNAcentral's name for it is "partial 16S ribosomal RNA". It matches the Rfam family "Bacterial small subunit ribosomal RNA", at positions 28 to 523 of the family's 1533-position model. The record is from RNAcentral.
GACGAACGCUGGCGGCGUGCCUAAUACAUGCAAGUCGAACGCUUUUUCUUUCACCGGAGCUUGCUCCACCGAAAGAAAAAGAGUGGCGAACGGGUGAGUAACACGUGGGUAACCUGCCCAUCAGAAGGGGAUAACACUUGGAAACAGGUGCUAAUACCGUAUAACACUAUUUUCCGCAUGGAAGAAAGUUGAAAGGCGCUUUUGCGUCACUGAUGGAUGGACCCGCGGUGCAUUAGCUAGUUGGUGAGGUAACGGCUCACCAAGGCAACGAUGCAUAGCCGACCUGGGAGGGUGAUCGGCCACACUGGGACUGAGACACGGCCCAGACUCCUACGGGAGGUAGCAGUAGGGAAUCUUCGGCAAUGGACGAAAGUCUGACCGAGCAACGCCGCGUGAGUGAAGAAGGUUUUCGGAUCGUAAGACUCUGUUGUUAGAGAAGAACAAGGAUGAGAGUAAAACGUUCAUCCCUUGACGGUAUCUAACCAGAAAGCCACGGCUAACUACGUGCCAGCCGCCGCGGUAA